Molecule: long non-coding RNA, 751 nt
Filed under: Rattus norvegicus (Norway rat)
Lineage: Eukaryota; Metazoa; Chordata; Mammalia; Rodentia; Muridae
Description: long non-coding RNA NONRATT001756
Source: RNAcentral
AUGACUUUCUCUUUUAGCUCUCUGCCGUCCUCUACCAGUCACUUUCCACAGAGAUCCAAUGGCAGCUCUGGAGACCCUCCUGACCUUGGGGUUUGAACGCGUUCUGACCAGUGGGUGUGACAGUUCAGCACUGGAAGGACUGCCUCUCAUAAAGCAGCUCACAGACCAGGCAAAAGGCAGGAUUGUGGUAAUGCCAGGAGGUGGGAUAACAGUUAAAAAUCUGCAAAGGAUCCUUGAGGGUUCUGGAGCUACAGAAUUCCACUGUUCUGCCCGAUCUUCUAGAGACUCAGGAAUGAAGUUUCGAAAUUCCUCUGUUGCAAUGGGAGCUUCACUUGCUCAUUCAGAAUAUUCUCUAAAGGUAACAGAUGUGACAAAAGUAAGGACUUUGAAUGCUAUUGCAAAGGAUGUCCUAGUUUAGUUAAACUUGUCUGAGAGACAUGGGUAUCGCAGUGUGAAAGAAGCAGUUGGAUCGACAAUCUCUAUGACAGCACCAACCUUCCACAUGGCCGUGGGUGUUUCUAAGAAGAAAAAGACAUCGGACAGCAAUGUGAUCACUUUCUUUGGUAGUCAUUGCUGUCUGCCAUCAUGGGUGAAUUUAGUCUGUGCUUCUUCCACAAGGGCAGGCUUAGCUUUCAGUGGGCUUAACUAAUGAACUGGCAGUGUUCAGCUGCAAGGCAUGAAACCAGAGUCUGCUUCAGGGUUGAUUUAGUGCCACUUUUGUGCCUUUUUGUUUUGUAAAAUAAAAAUUCUC